This 329-nucleotide ribosomal RNA is filed under the name uncultured Bacillota bacterium. RNAcentral's name for it is "bacterial SSU rRNA". It matches the Rfam family "Bacterial small subunit ribosomal RNA", at positions 28 to 351 of the family's 1533-position model. Lineage: Bacteria; Bacillati; Bacillota. The record is from RNAcentral.
GACGAACGCUGGCGGCGUGCCUAAUACAUGCAAGUCGAGCGGAGUUCAUCCUUCGGGAUGAGCUUAGCGGCGGACGGGUGAGUAACACGUAGGCAACCUGCCCGUAAGACGGGGAUAACUACCGGAAACGGUAGCUAAUACCGGAUACACAGCUUCCUCGCAUGAGGGAACUGGGAAAGACGGAGCAAUCUGUCACUUACGGAUGGGCCUGCGGCGCAUUAGCUAGUUGGUAGGGUAACGGCCUACCAAGGCGACGAUGCGUAGCCGACCUGAGAGGGUGAACGGCCACACUGGGACUGAGACACGGCCCAGACUCCUACGGGUGGCUG